UUGGUUCAGGACGAACGCUGGCGGCGUGCCUAACACAUGCAAGUCGAACGGAGUUAUUCGAAAGCUUGCUUUGGAUAACUUAGUGGCGGACGGGUGAGUAACGCGUGAGUAACCUGCCUUUCAGAGGGGGAUAACGUUCUGAAAAGAACGCUAAUACCGCAUAAUGUAUAAUUGUCGCAUGGCAGCGAUACCAAAGGAGCAAUCCGCUGAAAGAUGGACUCGCGUCCGAUUAACUGGUUGGCGGGGUAACGGCCCACCAAGGUGACGAUCGGUAGCCGGACUGAGAGGUUGAACGGCCACAUUGGGACUGAGACACGGCCCAGACUCCUACGGGAGGCAGCAGUGGGGGAUAUUGCACAAUGGGGGAAACCCUGAAUGCAGCAACGCCGCGUGUGGGAAGAAGGUUUUCGGAUUGUAAACCACUGUUCUUAGCGAAGAAAGAAAUGACGGUAACUAAGAAGAAAGCUCCGGCUAACUACGUGCCAGCAGCAGC
Molecule: ribosomal RNA, 493 nt
Filed under: uncultured bacterium
Lineage: Bacteria
Description: bacterial SSU rRNA
Rfam family: Bacterial small subunit ribosomal RNA
Source: RNAcentral